CCGCUGAAAGCAUCUAAGUGGGAAGCCCACCUCAAGAUGAGUAUUGCCAUGGCUUAAGCCAGUAAGGUCACGGGAAGAACACCCGUUGAUAGGCUCUACGUGGAAGCUUGGUAACAAGUGCAGCGGAGGAGUACUAAUAGACCGAGGGCUUGACCAA
RNAcentral lists this ribosomal RNA (157 nucleotides) under Prochlorococcus marinus XMU1421. Its description in RNAcentral is "partial 23S ribosomal RNA". It matches the Rfam family "Bacterial large subunit ribosomal RNA", at positions 2768 to 2925 of the family's 2925-position model. The record is from RNAcentral. Lineage: Bacteria; Bacillati; Cyanobacteriota; Cyanophyceae; Synechococcales; Prochlorococcaceae.